Molecule: ribosomal RNA, 577 nt
Filed under: uncultured Ectothiorhodospiraceae bacterium
Lineage: Bacteria; Pseudomonadati; Pseudomonadota; Gammaproteobacteria; Chromatiales; Ectothiorhodospiraceae
Description: bacterial SSU rRNA
Rfam family: Bacterial small subunit ribosomal RNA
Source: RNAcentral
GGCGGACGGGUGAGUAAUACUUAGGAAUCUGCCCAGUAGUGGGGGACAACUCGAGGAAACUCGAGCUAAUACCGCAUACGCCCUAAGGGGGAAAGCGGGGGAUCUUCGGACCUCGCGCUAUUGGAUGAGCCUAAGUCGGAUUAGCUUGUUGGUAGGGUAACGGCCUACCAAGGCGACGAUCCGUAGCUGGUCUGAGAGGACGAUCAGCCACACUGGGACUGAGACACGGCCCAGACACCUACGGGAGGCAGCAGUGGGGAAUAUUGGACAAUGGGCGCAAGCCUGAUCCAGCAAUGCCGCGUGUGUGAAGAAGGCCUGCGGGUUGUAAAGCACUUUCAGUAGAGAAGAAAAGCUUAAGGUUAAUACCCUUGAGUCUUGACGUAACCUACAGAAGAAGCACCGGCUAACUCCGUGCCAGCAGCCGCGGUAAUACGGAGGGUGCAAGCGUUAAUCGGAAUUACUGGGCGUAAAGCGCGCGUAGGCGGUUUUGUAAGUCGGAUGUGAAAGCCCAGGGCUUAACCCUGGAAUUGCAUUCGAUACUGCUUAACUAGAGUAUGGUAGAGGGAAGUGGAAUUUC